AUUCAGCUGAAAAGUCCAAAAUAGGACGAAACGCAUGUCGUGAAU
This is a non-coding RNA of Schistosoma curassoni, 45 nucleotides long. The record is from Rfam. Lineage: Eukaryota; Metazoa; Platyhelminthes; Trematoda; Strigeidida; Schistosomatidae.